This is a non-coding RNA of Camelina sativa (false flax), 825 nucleotides long. The record is from RefSeq and is a predicted model, not a curated record. NCBI's taxonomy places the organism in Eukaryota, Viridiplantae, Streptophyta, Magnoliopsida, Brassicales, Brassicaceae.
UUAUUGUACCCAAUUUCUCAUAUUCCAUCGUUUCAUCUCCAUUUUGUAAUCGAUCAAUCUUUUCUUCUCCAUCUACUCACGACCAAUUUUUCAGAAAACAGGGUAAAAUCAAAUUCAAUACUUCUUCAAUCCACCGGAUCUUCAAGAGAAAACUUUAAAAUCGUAAAAAGAGAGAAGCUCUGAUUAGUCGAAUCAAUUGGGGUUGUCUAUGGAGAUGAUGGUGCUAUCAAUCGGAUGAUUCAGUUUUGAUCCAUGAGUUAAGCGACCCAAUUUAUCAACUCAAUUGGAUUGUACAUGUGAAGACAUCAUAAUAUCCGUAAGAUAAGUAGUUGUUUCUUAAAAACGUGUUUGCUUGUUUUAUUUGGAAAAAUAUAUCCUUACUGAUUAAUUUCUUUUGCAAUUUAAUCCAGGAAAUCAAAUAAGAUGUACUUUCCUGUAACCCAGGUUAUUACAAUAGAGUGAAAGGACAUGAAGCCAUAAACAGACAUUGUUUUACGUUUUUUGGCGGAAGAGUUAUUGAUAAUAGAGGAUAAGUUUUAGCAGAGCAAAAAUUGAAGGUCUGUGAUAGGCACGGGAGCGGCAGCCAUUGGAGAUGGUUUGAAAGAAGAAAGGAGAAAGUAAAGAAGGUUUUUUUUCGGAAGCCCAACAUAGCCCAUUGGUAUGUGAGGGAAGGUCGAAACAGAAGUUCCUCAAUAAUUCCUAUCGGAUAUCCAAUUUUGCAUUUCCGGGGGCAUUUUCGGGCUAUGUGAAAGUUGUACUUCUCUUUUACUAAUAUAGGGAUUAGUUUAUUCUUAAUAUGUAUAUAUUUUCUAAAUAUUGCUUAAA